GACGAACGCUGGCGGCGUGCUUAACACAUGCAAGUCGAACGGAAAGGCCCUGCUUUUGUGGGGUGCUCGAGUGGCGAACGGGUGAGUAACACGUGAGUAACCUGCCCUUGACUUUGGGAUAACUUCAGGAAACUGGGGCUAAUACCGGAUAGGAGCUCCUGCUGCAUGGUGGGGGUUGGAAAGUUUCGGCGGUUGGGGAUGGACUCGCGGCUUAUCCGCUUGUUGGUGGGGUAGUGGCUUACCAAGGCUUUGACGGGUAGCCGGCCUGGGAGGGUGACCGGCCCCACUGGGACUGGGAUGCGGCCCAGACUCCUACGGGAGGCAGCAGUGGGGAAUAUUGCACAAUGGGCGGGAGCCUGAUGCAGCAACGCCGCGUGCGGGAUGACGGCCUUCUGGUUGUAAACCGCUUUCGCCUGUGACGAAGCGUGAGUGACGGUAAUGGGUAAAGAAGCACCGGCUAACUACGUG
Molecule: ribosomal RNA, 468 nt
Filed under: uncultured bacterium
Lineage: Bacteria
Description: partial 16S ribosomal RNA
Rfam family: Bacterial small subunit ribosomal RNA
Source: RNAcentral